UGUACAGAUGGAACAUUGGCUGUGGAUUCUUCUUGCUGCUCUUUUCUUUGAGUGUAAAGGAGAAGACAAAGUGAUCCAACCAGGAGGAGAAGUCAUUGCUGCUGAAGGAGACUCUGUCACACUCAACUGUACCUUUCAGACCAGUUUCACAGUGACCUCAUAUUUGUUCUGGUACAAACAAGAAGUGAACAGUUACCCAAAGUACAUGUUGAAGCGUUACUCAUCAACAGAAGAUAAUGCUCCAGAGUUCAAGAUAAAAAAAUUUAAUGCUGAACUCAAAGGCAAAUCAGUUCCUCUGACGAUCCAUAAUCUUCAUGUGUCAGACUCUGCUGUGUACUACUGUGCUCUGCAGCCCACAGUGACAGGAAACAGCAAAACUCUGUACAAAAACCUGCAGAACAAUUCUCCUCACUAUCUGAAAAAAAACAAAACGCUUGGGGAAUACCUGCUACUACCACUGGAGGGCACUGUGCAACCGCCAGUUACAUUUGAUGCACAAUGCUUAAAUAACAGCCACUUGAUGGCGCUCUCAGGCAGAAAAAAGAUCCAUGUAAACAAGCAGCAGUAAUGUAUCCUUCCACAUGUACUGUAUUUGACACUUUCAUUUCCGUCUCAGCUGGUUAAUAAGGACUAGAGGACUCAAUCUGUUUUACCUUUCUGCAGAUAAAGAAACAGACUGAGAUAAUCAUCUGUGCUCCAGAGAAACUUAGAGAAAGUAUUAGUUGUAAGUAUUUUUUUUUCUAAAACCUACAAAUCAAGUUAGGAAUAUUUUCUGUAAUCCUUGU
Oryzias melastigma (Indian medaka) is the source of this 785-nucleotide non-coding RNA. Lineage: Eukaryota; Metazoa; Chordata; Actinopteri; Beloniformes; Adrianichthyidae. The record is from the annotation of a RefSeq genome assembly.